AUGGGAGAACAGGCCAACCCCCACCUCUCUACAGCCUCCUUUAAGGUAUCUAUAGAGAGCGAUAAGGUCGUCCAUGAGCCUCCUUUUCUCCAGGCUGAACAAGCCCAGCUCCCUCAGCCGCUCCUCGUAGGACUUGUUCUCCAGGCCCCUCACCAGCUUCGUUGCCCUUCUCUGGACCCGCUCAAGCACCUCCAUGUUCUUCUUGUAGCGAGGGGCCCAAAACUGGGCACAGUACUUGAGGUGCGGCCUCACCAGAGCCGAGUUCCAGGGGAUGAUCACCUCCCUAGCCCUGCUGGUCACACUGGUUCUUAUGCAAGCCAGGAUGCUGUUGGCCUUCUUGGCCACCUGAGCACACUGCUGGCUCAUAUUCAGCUGACUAUCAACCAUCACUCCCAGAUCCUUCUCUGCCUGGCAGCUUUCCAACCACUCGUCUCCCAGCCUGUAGCUCUGCUUGGGGUUAUUGCGCCCCAGGUGCAGGACCCAGCACUUGGCCUUGUUGAACUUCAUGCAGUUGACCUCAGCCCAUCUGUGCAGCCUAUCCAGAUCCUCCUGCAGAGCCUUCCUGCCCUCGAGCAGAUCGACACACGCACCUCAGUUGGUGUCAUCUGCAAACUUACUGAGGGUGCACUCGAUGCCCUCAUCCAGAUCAUCGAUGAAGCUAUUAAAGAGGACUGGCCCCAGCACCAAGCCCUGGGGGACACCACUAGUGACCAGCCUCCAGCUGGAUUUGACUCUAUUCACCACAACUCUUUGGGCCCGGCUAUCCAGCCAGUUUCUAACCCAACGAAGCGUGCGCCAGUCCAAGCCAAGAGCAGCCAGUUUCUUGAGGAGAAUGCUGUGGGAGACGGUGUCAAAAGCCUUGCUGAAAUCAAGGUAGACCACAUCCACAGCCUUUCCCUCAUCCACCCAGCGCGUCACUUUGUCAUAGAAGGAGAUCAGGUUCGUCAAGCAGGACCUGCCUUCCAUAAACCCAUGCUGACUGGGCCUGAUCGCCUGCUUGCCCUGCAAGUGCCACGUGAUGACUCUCAAGAGGAUCUGCUCCAUGAGCUUCCCUGGUACUGA
Molecule: long non-coding RNA, 1062 nt
Filed under: Anas platyrhynchos platyrhynchos (common mallard)
Lineage: Eukaryota; Metazoa; Chordata; Aves; Anseriformes; Anatidae
Description: lncRNA (ENSAPLG00000016931.1)
Source: RNAcentral